RNAcentral lists this long non-coding RNA (216 nucleotides) under Elaeis guineensis (African oil palm). RNAcentral describes it as "long non-coding RNA (EGUI_LNC048042)". The record is from RNAcentral. Lineage: Eukaryota; Viridiplantae; Streptophyta; Magnoliopsida; Arecales; Arecaceae.
CUUUUCUUCAUGCCAAAAACUCCCAUUUCUAUCCAUGAGAUCACAUAAGAGGUGCCCCCUUUAUCUCCUUUUAAAUAGGGAUUAGUUAGGUUAGGGUUUUUUAGGAGUCCUUAUUUCUGCCUCCUUAGAUUUGUGCGCUAACCCAUUUAGUGCCUCUUUUCUCCAUGGUAAAAAAUAGAUUAGGCAUCCCUCUUGGGUGUGGAUAAGGAGAGAGAG